RNAcentral lists this long non-coding RNA (382 nucleotides) under Zea mays. Its description in RNAcentral is "drought responsive lncRNA". Lineage: Eukaryota; Viridiplantae; Streptophyta; Magnoliopsida; Poales; Poaceae. The record is from RNAcentral.
GAUAGUGAAGGGCACGGCGGGCCAGAGAGACGCGCCAGGGCGCUGCGACAAGGUGGAGAAGGGUCGAGCUAGGAGGGAUCCGGUGGAGUCUGAGUGCGGCUUGGCGAGGGAGAAGACGCGCUGGCCAUCGACAAACCCCGGCGAGGACCUCAUCAGCGGGAAAAAACACAGGGCACGCACGCGUUAGACGACUAGAGGAAGAAGGGCGCGAGGGAGCUAUAGACCAUGGUGUUAAGGGCGGCCAUGGGAAGGAACUCGACAUGGGGCAGCAGCCGAGCGCUAGAGUUGAGACCAUGGCGGCGAUGGUCGAGUGGGAGAGGGCGCUCAACACAGUGGAGAUGGGGCGGUGUGCACUGGAGAGGAUUCCACACUAGCGUAAGCG